CCCAGCGGUGGGGGCAGCUGUUUCAUUCGGUGUUUCGGCAAUGCUUGACGGGCAUAACAUGCUUGUUGGGGGUUGUAGUUCGCUGAUUGGAAUUGUUGCUCAUUGUACGUGGUGGUGCAUGAGUCGUAUCACGAUCGUUUGGGUAGGCAGGCUCCGUGCUCGCUGUCACGGGCUUGGUGUUUGCUACCAACGAACCGUGCGGCACUAGCUACUUUCUCGCGGAAACAAGUCAGCUAGUCAGCCUACUCCUCCU
Molecule: long non-coding RNA, 253 nt
Filed under: Ricinus communis (castor bean)
Lineage: Eukaryota; Viridiplantae; Streptophyta; Magnoliopsida; Malpighiales; Euphorbiaceae
Description: long non-coding RNA (RCOM_LNC003451)
Source: RNAcentral